This 500-nucleotide ribosomal RNA is filed under the name uncultured bacterium. RNAcentral describes it as "partial 16S ribosomal RNA". It matches the Rfam family "Bacterial small subunit ribosomal RNA", at positions 30 to 523 of the family's 1533-position model. The record is from RNAcentral.
AUUGAACGCUGGCGGCAUGCCUCACACACGCAAGUCGAACGGCAGCACGGGAGCAAUCCUGGUGGCGAGUGGCGAACGGGUGAGUAAAGUAUCGGAACGUGCCCAGUCGUGGGGGAUAACGUAGCGAAAGUUACGCUAAUACCGCAUACGAUCUAUGGAUGAAAGCGGGGGAUCGCAAGACCUCGCGCGAUUGGAGCGGCCGAUAUCAGAUUAGGUAGUUGGUGGGGUAAAGGCUCACCAAGCCGACGAUCUGUAGCUGGUCUGAGAGGACGACCAGCCACACUGGGACUGAGACACGGCCCAGACUCCUACGGGAGGCAGCAGUGGGGAAUUUUGGACAAUGGGCGCAAGCCUGAUCCAGCCAUGCCGCGUGCAGGAUGAAGGCCUUCGGGUUGUAAACUGCUUUUGUACGGAACGAAAAGGUUUGACUUAAUACGUUGGACUCAUGACGGUACCGUAAGAAUAAGCACCGGCUAACUACGUGCCAGCAGCCGCCGUAA